Oryza sativa Japonica Group (Japanese rice) is the source of this 4772-nucleotide non-coding RNA. The record is from RefSeq and is a predicted model, not a curated record. Lineage: Eukaryota; Viridiplantae; Streptophyta; Magnoliopsida; Poales; Poaceae.
UAGUAUGGUGGGCCCACUUGUCAGGACGGAAGCCUCCCUCUCCGACUCCCUUUCUCCCCGUCCCCCAAAUUCGCAUCUCUACCCUCGCCGCCGGCGGCCAAGCGCCACCGCCGACCACCGCCGUCCCCCGCGACCUCGCCGUCGUCGACCACGACGAGCGGUGGCCGCCGCCGCCGCCGCCCUCCUCGAGUUCGACCCCGUUCAUCUCAUCCGUCGUCCUCCGCGAGAUAACCCUCCAUCGCUGUCUCGGGCGAUGUCGAAGCAGCUGGUGUCGCGGCUGCUGGGGAUGUUCCGCUCGCGGGCGCAGGUGGGCGCCGACAAGUUCGGCAACCGCUACUUCACCCGCGUCGAGGAGGUCGACGGCGUCAUGAAGGAGAAACGGUGGGUGGAGUUCAAGGGGAGCGACCAGGAUCCGACCACUGUUCCAGUUGAGUGGAUUUGCUGGUUGAAUGGACAAAGGAAGAAAGCUCCGACACCAGAGGAGUUGGCUGAGCUGGAAGCAAGGCGUGAACGUGUCAAGCAAAAUAUUGAAUUGCUCAAAAAGAAAGAAGAAGAGGAAAAGAAGACCGGUGUCCGACCAGUCAAGACGGUUGGGAAGUUUGAAUCUCCAAAUCUCAAAAGUUUUAUUCAGCAGUUUCCUGAUACUUCGCUAGAUCAGAGAAAAGGACAUGAUGAGGUAUCUAGAUCAAAGGAUGGAACUGAUACAGAGGAUGCCACCAUAGAUACUGACAGGUCUUCUGAACCGACAGGAACUGGUGCUACCUUCAAACCAGGGACAUGGCAGCCACCAACUUGAAUUACAACAAACAUAUAAUUGUAGCAGGUGAAAUGGUGCUGCAGUCAGCAUCAGCAUUUUCCUUUGAGAGUGUACUAUCUUCCAGUUAUUUGAUGAAGAAAUGGAGAUUUAUUUUUACUGUGAUUACCACUGUACACUCCGGGAGUUACAUCAACAAAUGCAGUAUCCGGAUGACAACAGAUAUAUACUUACCAAUCUUAUCAAAUACAUGAUCAUUCAUGUGCCUGACUAAUUAGUUUUGUUAUUGAGAAUUAUGGAACACCACGAGUGAGCUGGUUCUGGAGGAGGCAUGCAAAUAUUUUUGUGCUACAUCUAAAAAUCUGAUAUGUUGGGCUGAAUUUGUUAACUGUGCGUGCCUUUGGUCCGUUAGUUGAAUGGGCUAAACUAACUGGUAUGGGCCUUUUCGGCCAUUGUUGCGUGUGCUAAAUUUCUUGAUAAAGCAGAUGUAUCCUAAUCCUAUAUGUCUCUAGUAUGGGCUGUUUGUAGAGUGGCUUUACUUGGCUCAUUAGUAUAUUUUUCUCUUUUUUUAAAAAAAAGAAAAAGAAAAGAUGACGCCAUAUUUGUGCUCGACUCGGGUUACAUUUUUUGCCAUUGCAAAUCUUCCUUUGUCUAAGCUCUGAGUAUAGUCGGAAAGGCACACUAUCCUUUCAGAAGCAGCUGUAUCAGAAAAGGAGUGAACCGGGUCUGCAGAAGAUGUGCAAUUUUCUUUGUAACAUCUAAAAGUUGAUCGAUCCAGUUUUCCAACGCAGAAUCCACUACAUUUCAUUUCAUGGCAAAAACAGAAUUACAUAGCUUCAAAUGGCAGAAACAAAAUCUUCAGGAACACACUUUUGACAGGUGGGAAAAACAGGCACAAAUCAAACAGAAAAUAGAAUCUUCAGGAACACACAUUUGACAGGCACAAAUCAAGCAGAAACAAAAUCUUCAGGAACACACAUUUGACAGGCACAAAUCAAGCAGAAACAAAAUCUUCAGGAACGCACAUUUGACAGGCACAAAUUAAUUAGAAACAAAAUCUUCAGGAACGCACAAUUAACAAGCACAAAUUAAUUAGAAACAAAAUCUUCAGGAACGCACAUUUGACAGGCACAAUCAAAAUAGUGCUGUCUAGAAGUGUACUCAGUAAAUUCUAGUAAUAUUGUUCAUCUCAUAGAUCACAGAGGAACCCCGAAUCCUAUCAAUGUACAGAGGAAUCCCGAUUCCCGAAUACUAAUAUUUCCGAUCGACUAUAGCGUAAACUAGAGACAACAUGAUCAAAACUCGUGCACCCUAGUCAUGUAGACUUCCUGAAAGUGACUAAUGAGCACGAAAACCAUCUACUCACAUAUGACGCUAAAAUCUUCGGCCGGGAUUCGAAGCUUCCAAACCUCAAGGAGCCUGCGCUUCGCCUGGCGGACGAAGUCGAGGAUGGUCGUCUCCGCCGGUGGAGGCGAGGGCGGAGCAGCGCGGCGAUCCGGCGGCGAGGUCGCAGGCGCGGGGUCGGGCUCGGGGGCGUGGUCGAAGAGCUCGGCGGGAACAGGGCGAUCCAUCAGAAUCGCCUCGGCCAAGCCCUCGAACAGGAGGCCGACAUGCCGCACGGCGCCGCCGCCGAGUCGCUGGUGGCGGAUCGCGGCGCCGGCGUCGGAGGAGCCUGGAGGCGUGGCGGCGAAGCGUGGCGUCGGGGAGGUCGUGGAGGCGCGGCCUGGCGCUGGCGCCGUUGCGGAUGACGACCGGGCGGUUGCGGACGACGACGUGGGCGGGCGCGAGCGGGAGGACGGCGACUCACCGGCGCGGGGGGCGAGGGCGCGCGCGUGCUCGACGCCAUGGAGAGAGCUUUGACCCGCAUCACGUAGCCCCUCCUUCCUCCGUGCAUCUCAACGAGCUUCUGGGCGUCCGUCCCGGUGAGAGCUAACCGACUGCGUCUUCCUCUUCUCCGCGCCGCUCUUCCUCCUCCGUCUCGCCAUUGCCGCACCUUGCGCUUGCGCUUCAAUCGAUCGCUCACGACGCCGACACACGCGCGCGCUCUCAAGUGCAAAUCUAAGAAGGACAUUUGAACAAUUGCCAAACUUAAUAGUGUCAAAUACUAGUUAAAUUUCGCUUUCUCUUGUAUACAGGAAAAAGAAAAGAAGAACAAAUUGAAACAUAUCUCCCACUCUCGUCAGUGUCAGACGGCGCCGACGCGAUCUCCUACUCCCACCCUCGCGCCAAAAGGAGAUCCCCCACUCCGCCCGGCUUAAUUCCUGUCGGGUUGCCGACUUGCAACCCCGAUUUGAUCGAGGUCGAGGAUCGUCGCUGCUGCUACCAUGGGUUUGCUGGCGCUGACGCGUCUCAUGGCUACGCAGCCGCCUCGUCGCCGCCGCCGCCGCCGCAACGAUGCCCAAGCCCAAGCCCGAAAUGGAGUGAUUACUUCCAUGGCUAAACGGAAGGGCACACUCCUCCAAGGGGGUGGUAGUUCUCAGGGUGGUAAAAGAUUGAGAUAUUCAGGGCCAGACCUCCCAGAGGACAUUUGGCGCCAUAUACAUUUCCUAAUGCCACUGCGAGAUGCUGCCCGUGCUGCUUGUAUUUCUCAAGCUUUUCUACGUUCAUGGAGACACCAUCCUAACCUUAUCUUAAGAAAGAAAACAAUGGGCUUGGAACAUAAAGCAUAUAGGAGGGUUGGUAUGGCAAGGGAUUUCACUAGCACAGUUCACAGCAUUCUGAAAAAUCACUCGGGCAUUGGUGUGAAGAGACUGAAGCUUGACAUCAUCUAUGAUCACCGCAAUCUCAACAUAUGUUAUCUCAAUAAUUGGCUUCAGAUUGCUAUUACACCAGGAAUUGAAGAAAUCACUCUCUUGCUGCCUUCAAAAUACACUUUCCCAUGCUCACUUUUAUCUGGUGGCAUUGGAAGGUCCCUUCAGUAUCUUAAGCUUGUCAGAUGCGCCUUCCGUCCCACAGCUAGCCUUGGUUUCUUGAGUAGUCUGACAAAGCUGCAUUUAUGUGAAGUGCGUAUUAAGGAUGACGAGUUAACUUGUCUUAUUUCCAAGUCUUUGGCUCUGAAGCAGUUGGAACUCCUAAACUGCAGACAAAUAAUCUGUCUGAAGAUACCGUGUUUGCUGGAGCAACUCAGCUGCCUGAAUGUAUCCUUGUGCGAGAAUCUGCAAAUGAUAGAGAGCAAAGCUCCAAACCUCUCCACUUUUAGCUAUAUAAGUAACCUAGUAGUAGAACUCUCACUUAAACAAUCAUCGCAAGUGAAGACCCUAGAUAUCGACUGUUAUGACGAGUCCAACUUUCUCUGUCAUGUUAUUACCAAGUUUCCAAAUAUUGUCCCAAAUCUUGAAACUCUUACCUUACAUUCAAUUGAUGAGAGGAUUAAUACGCCAAUGGUAGCUUCCAAAUUCCUCCACGUGAAGCACCUGGAGAUUUAUUUUGAAAGUCUUGAUCCCGACAAGGCCUUUCCCCCAUAAUAUGAUUAUUUGUCUUUGGUUUCUAUUCUUGAUGCUUCUCCUGUUUUGGAUUCUUUCAUCUUUUGUGUACAACAGGGAGAAAUGAAGCAUGAUUCAGUUUUUGGCGACGCCUCAAAUUUGAGGACGAUGCCUGGACACAAGCACGAAAGCCUCAAGGAUGUGGAAAUCAUUGGAUUUUGCUCUGCGACGAGUAUGGUUGAGCUAACAUGUUAUUUACUCAAGAAUGCGAUAUCACUGGAAUAUAUUACAUUGGCACUAAGAAGGGAGAUGAUCUUGGAAGCCCAUAGAGGGGUCAUGGCAAUCGAAAGAUACAUCAGGGGGAAAGUUCCAUCCAAGGUUGAGUUAACCGUUCUCGAGCUUUGCAUCUGGUGCCAUGAUCUUGAACGUUUAGAUGCCUUAGACAAAGGAAAAUUGAUCACAUUCCCCACUUCUUGAGUUAGGCGACAUUUAAUUAUUGUUUACACGUGUACAAUCAGAUGUUUAGUUACCUAUGUAAUUUAUCCAGUAUUUAACUUCGUAAUUUUUACAUGGAUGAGCAUUGGAAUGGUUGGUCA